UAUUUUCCCCUUACUCUUCAAACCUGUGAUCGACUCCACUCAGGCCCUUGAGGACACUAAUCUUUACUCAGUCUUAUAUUGAGAGAUGGGACUUCUUCCUGAGUUAUACAUUAGAUGUCAGAAAUCCUGUCCCCCUAUCUGCAGGCAAUUUAGUUUGCUUCCUGAUCAACAGACUGUGUCUGUAUUCUGUCACCUUUCUAAGUUGGAAUGUUAACCAAGCUGUAGACUUGGGAGAUUGUCUGCAGCAUAUGGCUUUAAUUGGUUUCAGUUAAUGCAGCUAUAGAUCUACAAGUGGUAUGGAAACCAGAUUGAGUAAAAGCCAAGAGAGGGUUAGGUCAUUCCUAGGGUAGAUUUCCAACUACACUAUUCUCUAAAUAAAUGUUCACAGAUGCAGAUAAGCCUGUGAACAUCUCCUGAGAAAGUGGGUUAUUUAUGCUGUAGAUAAUUUUAUUUACUAUGGGCCAUCUCUACUCACAACCAAUUUAAAUGUUUGAAAUGAAUCAACCAGUUAUAGUUUCAUGUUGGUAAUGCAGCAGUCUAACCCAAAAGUGUGGUGGUAGACAUAUUUAGAGCAGCUAAAUCGGAACUUAACAGGUUUAUAUGUUAAUGCACAUAUAUUUCAUUCUCAAAAAAUACUUCAGGCCCUCACUUAAAGUCUAUUUAAUCUUGUUUUACACAAAUAUUAUCAAAUUUGACUCUCUGGUUUCCCAGAAGAUCAAAAAGGAGGGAGAAAAAUGCUACAGGCCAGCUGGUAGGUAAAUUGAGAUAAUUGAAAAAUAAAUAUUAAUAAUUAGGCAGGGUAAAGAGACUUGUAUAAAAUCAUUUUGCUGAAUCUGUUUUUGUUUUUUGUACUUAGAGAAUCACUAUAUUAUAGCCAAGAACAAUUACUGACCUAUAAUUUAUAUUGAGACACUAAGAAAAGAUUUAACUAUGUUCACUAAAUUCUGUGGUGGUUAGGGAGAAGCAUGGUGAACACUGUGGCAAUAUUUACUUGCAAAAAUUAUUUAGUAGUAUUCAAAAUUAUUUGUUAACUAAUAAUUGUACUCUAUAUAGCUGAGAUAGUAGAAUUGCUUCAGUCUCAUUUAACUUCUGCCAAAAUCAUCUAUAUAUUUUUGAGGAGCAUAGAGUGGAGAGAAAGAGAUUGAGAAGUUAAAUAGGUUAGGUGUUGCUAAUCACCAUUCUUCAUAAUGCCCUGGAAUGGAUGAGAUGGCAAAUGUGAUUCAAUUUUUACCACAUAGAGUCUCAGUUCCUACAGACCUCUCAUCACAUAGAAAGCCCUCACCUAAGCUAAGUAGGAUACUAACUUUUAAAGGUAUACUUUGGGGGAGGGAAGGUUUACAACAGAGCCAACAAAUUACUUCAUCUGGUUUUAAGUCCAAACUGUGAUCUGUUGCAAUGCCAGGGCUGAGGGGCUGUGGGACUGUCUCUGAUAGAUUUAUAGAACAAUGGUAUGGUGAUUGCUAAUGUGGUCCCUUACGGAUGAAUUUUUAAGGUAAUGUUACUUUCUUUGAUUUUUUGUCAUAUGUGCCAAUCUUCUGAUCAAAGCUACAACUGAGAGGCAACUCCAUAGUAAUUAAACACACCAAGCAAUGUAAGAGACAGAAUACUCCCUGGCUUAUAGGUACUUUUAUCUCUUGUGCCUAGCACAUAGUAGGUUUAUAUUAACUUUUAAAAAUAAAUACUUUUUAAACACUACUUUCCAGUGGAAAACCCAAAAGAUACUACUGCUAGUUUACCCAGUAUUUAUCUGAUUAUUUCAGAUUGCAGUAUAAUAUUUGUGAAAGUAGAAACCUCAUCUACCUUUUCCACUUCUAUUUCUUGAGGAUCUAGUACAUGGUAGAAGUGUAAUCAAUAUUCUGACAUCCGUAAGUGAAUGAGUAAAUCAAUCUAAAGUUGAUGUAGGCACUCUUAGUCUUUAAGAUGUGUUUUAAAUUUUACUAGCAGCUAAGUGAGUCUGGUUAGGACUAAGAAACAUAUAGCAAGUAAAAUAAGUGACUUUACUUAAGAAUUUGAAGAGAAAUUAAUGACAAUUUACAUAAUUAGUCAAGAUCUUAAUUGACUAACUCAUGUUCAUCACUUCUGUGCCUUUUAAG
Molecule: long non-coding RNA, 2093 nt
Filed under: Homo sapiens (human)
Lineage: Eukaryota; Metazoa; Chordata; Mammalia; Primates; Hominidae
Description: non-protein coding lnc-COX7C-10:1
Source: RNAcentral